UACGUAGGUGGCAAGCGUUGUCCGGAAUUAUUGGGCGUAAAGCGCGCGCAGGCGGCCUUUUAAGUCUGAUGUGAAAGCCCCGGGCUCAGCCCGGGAAGUGCGCUCGAAACUGCGCAGCUCGAGUGCCGGAGGGGAGAGUGGAAUUCCUGGUGUAGCGGUGAAAUGCGUAGAUAUCAGGAGGAAUACCGGUGGCGAAAGCGACUCUCUGGACGGUAACUGACGCUGAGGCACGAAAGCGUGGGGAGCAAACAGG
Molecule: ribosomal RNA, 253 nt
Filed under: uncultured bacterium
Lineage: Bacteria
Description: partial 16S ribosomal RNA
Rfam family: Bacterial small subunit ribosomal RNA
Source: RNAcentral